This is a long non-coding RNA of Silurus meridionalis, 332 nucleotides long. RefSeq lists it as uncharacterized. Lineage: Eukaryota; Metazoa; Chordata; Actinopteri; Siluriformes; Siluridae. The transcript is spliced from 3 exons. The record is from RefSeq and is a predicted model, not a curated record.
UGCUAAUCCAAGAUGGCUGCCGAGCCGGAAAGUCUUGCCAAGCUCCAGACUCCUAACAUAAACAAAACCAAAUGCUGGACCAUCGACCUCAAAAGUUCUGCAUAGAAACAAAGUGAAUGAGGCAGCAGCAGCAGUACUGGCAGUGAGUCUGAAAAUGCUUGACCCAAUGCCUUCCUGCCCCAAGCGGUUCUGCUCUCAGUCUUUGGGAGUCCCAGCUGAUCUCUCUGGAGCUAAGAUGCCCCACUCACUCUCUUUUUAUCAAAAAUACACCUUUAUCUCUUUUUUACUCAUUCUCAUUCAAACACUCAAGCACCUACACCUUAACUGCAGGA